This 140-nucleotide ribosomal RNA is filed under the name Petromyzon marinus (sea lamprey). Lineage: Eukaryota; Metazoa; Chordata; Hyperoartia; Petromyzontiformes; Petromyzontidae. The record is from RNAcentral.
GAUCAUGGCCGGGGUGCCCCGCUCCCGCCGGGUCGGGACCGGUGGGACUGUUCGAGUGCGUCACCGCGACCAUGGCUCGGCGCCGGCUGCGGGUGUGCCACCGACUGCGGGCGCCCGGGGUCUGCGGUGAGGGUCGGCCA